GAAAAUUAUCCAGCAUGGAUCCUUAAAUUCAUUUCAUUCUUUCAGAAUGUUUACAGGGAAGACAGGAAUAUUAUGGGAGCAUAAGUAAACCAAACAUUCCAGAAGCAAAAAUUACCACCUCAGCCAGUAGUCCAAGAAGUGAGGAGAAACAGAAGCCUUAGAGAGCUGGUAUCACUGAACAGAUGGAGGUUGAAUUCACGCAGUGAAAUCCCUGCAGAGCACACAGCUUGUUCCUUGCUUCUGAGAAAAAUGGCCACAUGGUUUUGGACAAGAUCAUUUGUCUGCUUCCAUGACUUCCACCAGGUAGCACAAGGCAAGGAAAGUAACGGCCAAAGAAAAUUGUAAUCUGAAUGCAUUACUUGUAAGAGGGAACUGAACUACUCUGCUGUAGAAUUGUAUAGUCUAGAGAAAGAAAGGGGAAUGGGAGAAAAAGAGUGAAGAAAAGAAAGGAAGUCAAUAUUUUGAGCUCACAAGUAA
Molecule: long non-coding RNA, 477 nt
Filed under: Phasianus colchicus (ring-necked pheasant)
Lineage: Eukaryota; Metazoa; Chordata; Aves; Galliformes; Phasianidae
Description: lncRNA (ENSPCLG00000001319.1)
Source: RNAcentral